GCACGGGGAGGUAGUGACAAAAAAAUAACGAUACGGGACUCAUCCGAGGCCCCGUAAUCGGAAUGAGAACACCCUAAAUCCUUUAACGAGGAUCUAUUGGAGGGCAAGUCUGGUGCCAGCAGCCGCGGUAAUUCCAGCUCCAAUAGCGUAUAUUAAAGUUGUUGCGGUUAAAAAGCUCGUAGUUGGUUCUGCGUGCCACGCUGUCGGUUCACCGCCUGCCGGUGCAACUGGCAUGCCGUGGCAUGUCCUGUCGGUGGCGGAUAGGCUUCGCGGCGUGCCCCAUGCGGCUUUACGUCAUGUGGGUUGUCGCUCCGCGUUGUCCUUGUACGCCGGCUCAAUCCUACCGCGGUGCUCUUUACCGAGUGUCGAGGUAGGCCGACAAUGUUUACUUUGAACAAAUUAGAGUGCUUAAAGCAGGCUCUUGAAUCAGCCUGAAUAGUGGUGCAUGGAAUAAUGGAACAGGACCUUGGUUCUAUUUUGUUGGUUUUCGGAAUCCAAGGUAAUGAUCAAUAAGGACAGGCGGGGGCAUUCGUAUUGCGACGUUAGAGGUGAAAUUCUUGGAUCGUCGCAAGACGCACUAGAGCGAAAGCAUUUGCCAAGUAUGUCUUAAUUGAUCAAGAACGAAAGUUAGAGGUUCGAAGGCGAUCAGAUACCGCCCUAGUUCUAACCAUAAACGAUGCCAGCCAGCGAUCCGCCGAUGUUCCUCCGAUGACUCGGCGGGGAGCUUCCCCCGGGAAACCAAAGCUUUUGGGUUCCGGGGGAAGUAUGGUUGCAAAGCUGAAACUUAAAGGAAUUGACGGAAGGGCACCACCAGGAGUGGAGCCUGCGGCUUAAUUUGACUCAACAC
This 847-nucleotide ribosomal RNA is filed under the name Largus davisi. Its description in RNAcentral is "SSU rRNA". It matches the Rfam family "Eukaryotic small subunit ribosomal RNA", at positions 454 to 1206 of the family's 1831-position model. The record is from RNAcentral. Lineage: Eukaryota; Metazoa; Arthropoda; Insecta; Hemiptera; Largidae.